UACGGGGGGGGCAAGCGUUGUUCGGAAUUACUGGGCGUAAAGGGCUCGUAGGCGGCCAACUAAGUCAGACGUGAAAUCCCUCGGCUUAACCGGGGAACUGCGUCUGAUACUGGAUGGCUUGAGUGUGGGAGAGGAAUGCGGAAUUCCAGGUGUAGCGGUGAAAUGCGCAGAUAUCAGGAGGAACACCGGUGGCGAAGGCGGGUCUCUGGGCCGAUACUGACGCUGAGGAGCGAAAGCGUGGGGAGCGAACAGG
This 253-nucleotide ribosomal RNA is filed under the name uncultured bacterium. RNAcentral describes it as "partial 16S ribosomal RNA". It matches the Rfam family "Bacterial small subunit ribosomal RNA", at positions 524 to 776 of the family's 1533-position model. The record is from RNAcentral.